GGUGGAUAUAGCUUACGCGCCAUUCAUUGAAAGAUUCCAGCCCUUCUUGCUCGAGGUAAAAAACUAUGACAUUACAACAGGCAGGACAAAACUUGCAGCAUGGAUCAAGGAGAUGAACCAAAUUGAAGGUUAUACAGUAACUAAACGUGACCCAAAGGAGCACCUGGAGAACUAUAAAAGACGUUUCUUGUCUCAGCUCUGAUGAGCAUUACACAGCAUCCACAAUUAUGCAAUGAUCACUGCUGAGUUCUGAACAGUUUAUAUGUGCAGGGGGCUGUCUUUUUCAUUGUAUUAGGAUAUGAUUAAUCUCAGCAUAAAAAUUCCACAUAUGGAAUAUAUAGCUGCACAGUGAAGUUGUUUCCAUAAAAUCUAUAUAUACCUUACAGAUUUGAGCCGUAUAAGCAGCAUUAGAGUAG
RNAcentral lists this unclassified non-coding RNA (416 nucleotides) under Hevea brasiliensis (rubber tree). Lineage: Eukaryota; Viridiplantae; Streptophyta; Magnoliopsida; Malpighiales; Euphorbiaceae. The record is from RNAcentral.